AGAACGAACGCUGGCGGCAGGCUUAACACAUGCAAGUCGAGCGCCCCGCAAGGGGAGCGGCAGACGGGUGAGUAACGCGUGGGAACAUACCCUCCGGUUCGGAAUAACUCAGGGAAACUUGAGCUAAUACCGGAUACGGUCGAGAGGCGAAAGAUUUAUCGCCGGAGGAUUGGCCCGCGUCCGAUUAGCUAGUUGGUGUGGUAAUGGCGCACCAAGGCGACGAUCGGUAGCUGGUCUGAGAGGAUGAUCAGCCACAUUGGGACUGAGACACGGCCCAAACUCCUACGGGAGGCAGCAGUGGGGAAUAUUGCACAAUGGGCGCAAGCCUGAUGCAGCAACGCCGCGUGAGGGACGACGGCCUUCGGGUUGUAAACCUCUUUUAGUAGGGAAGAAGCGAAAGUGACGGUACCUGCAGAAAAGCACCGGCUAACUACGUGCCAGCAGCCGC
Molecule: ribosomal RNA, 448 nt
Filed under: uncultured bacterium
Lineage: Bacteria
Description: SSU rRNA
Rfam family: Bacterial small subunit ribosomal RNA
Source: RNAcentral